RNAcentral lists this long non-coding RNA (5089 nucleotides) under Cucumis sativus (cucumber). RNAcentral's name for it is "long non-coding RNA (CSAT_LNC000077)". The record is from RNAcentral. Lineage: Eukaryota; Viridiplantae; Streptophyta; Magnoliopsida; Cucurbitales; Cucurbitaceae.
AUACUUCAAUAAUGUUUUUUUGCAAUUUGCCUAUUAUUAGGUCCAUGUCUAGUAUCCAAUUGUUAUAUAUAUAUAUAUAAAGCAUACAUAAUAUAACUAGAGAUAUAUAUUUUAUUUAUUUCACGAAAUUAAGUCGUGAUUUAUUAUUACAAUAGAAAUUGAGAAUUGGAUGAAAUUUAUCACACCCAAAACCCAACCUCUUGACAUCUUUCACAUUCAUCAAUCAUAAACUUUCUUGAACAUAACCGGAAAUGGCGUAUCGCUCAAAACAAGACCUUUUAUUCCAUUGUUCUCAAAUAUACCAAUAUCUUUGCACAUUACUUUGCAAUUCUUACACACCACUCUUGGACAAUACACCAACUUAGUAACCUUCCCAUAUUGCUCUAUUUUGAACCAGUUUUCCGUAGUCUCUCACCCCGGAUUCUCUUUCGUUCCGCCAAUUGUUACGAAAUAUUGCCUCAAAUAUUGAUCAAAUGUUCCUAAUCUCCACACCGUCGAUUUCACACACCUUGUAGUCGCAUCAAACUCGAUGUUCAAAUCGGUGGAGACUCAAACCACACCCUUUUUAAGGUUUAUUGGUAAAAAUGUAGUGGAAAAACCAUCGGGUUGUUCGUAACACUCCUAGACGACGUUGACACCACAUCUAUCGUAUUCUUUUCGGAUAUUCCCGAUGGCGAAACUUCCACCACCAACACUGCCUUGAAUUGCUGGGAGGAUGUAGUAUUUGUUGCUGAUUCUGAGCUUCUUUCCAUCGGUGUCGAGGACGGGAUCUGGUGACGCAUCAGCUCCGCAGAAGCGUACCUCAGAUGAGGCAAUGACAAUGGCAAUGAAAAGACAAGUGAGUAAUGCAAAAUGCAUAUUUGAUACAUUAAUGUUUUUGACACAAAACAAGUUUUUGACUGAGGGCCAAUAAAAUUUCAAUUAAUUUGCGAUCAAAACAUUUUUGAGUCAAUCAUGUUCGUCAGAUUCCUUAUUAGAGAUAAAUUUUUAAAAGAGAAAAAAAGAAAAGUCAAGCUUUGUUUUUAGAGUACAAAUUAAAAAUCAAAGAUUUGAAAUAAAAGUAUAUAUAUAUAGACGUGAGUUAAACUGAUGUUAAAAUAUAUCAAACUUUUCAAUUUUUGUGCAGCAUAAUUAUAUUAAUAUAUAUGGAUUUUUAUGUAUUAACCCUUUUUAAAGUUUAGGUUCAUUUAAAAUAACUUUUUUCUUAAAAAAAAAGUCGAAGGUCCAAUGUGUUCUGGAAAUUAAAAAUUGUAAAAGUGAAUACUUUAAAAUAAAAAUAAAAUAUUUUUCCUUAUUUCAAAAUAUUUUAGAGACAAACUAAUUGCCUUCAUGUGAUUGCAUUUACUACUCUUUUAGCUUUGCACAUGAUGUAUGUACUUGACUUUUCUUUUUCUCUUUAUUAUAUAUAUAUAUAUAUAUAUAUAUAUAUAUAUAUAUAUAUAUAUAUAUUAAAAAUAAUUAUAAUUGACGGUAAUAUAAUAAAGCAUAUAGUAACAUUUUAAAAAAAAUUGAAAAUAUAACAAAAUCUAUCUGCUAUAAAUUUCUAUUAUCGAUAGACUUUAUCGGUGAUCUAUUAGUCAAGACAAAUUAUUUUAUAUUUACAAAUUUUUUAAAAUGUUGUUAUUUAUUUAGUUAUUUUGAAUCUAAUUCUUUUAUUUGCAAUAAUUUUUGCAGGUUUUAAAUAAGUUAUAUUUUCAUCCAAGAUAAAUUAACAAAAACUCAACUGAUUGAUUAAGAUAUUAUACAAGGUUUUUUUAAAAAAUAAUAAAAAGAUAAAUAUUUACACUCUAUCGAACAAAAAAAAUACUAAAAAGACCAAAAAAAAUCGUUACUCUUGAUUUUUUUAUGAAGUCUAAACAUUUUGUCAAUUUUAGACAUUGGUGGGAUUCUAACGGUGUCCAUCAUAGUAACAUCGUAAGACGUUGAUAAAUCUAAAAUUUUGUUAUAUUUUGUAAAUAUUUUCAACACUUUUGUCAUUUACAAUAAUUCUCUAUUCUUAAUAAAGCUAUAAAUAGUCUUACAUUCUUUAAACAAGGAUAGUGUUAUUUUAAAUUAAGGUUUAAAAUGUUGAUGUCGAAGAAAAUAUCGAGAUCUUAAUUUUAUGAAAAAACUAUAAAUUUAUUGUAAAAAUAUCCAUUACAAUGGAUAGUAUGAAAAUUUAUUAAAAUAAUCCAAUAAACAAUCAAUUUAAAUUAGCCAGAUAAAUAUUUAAGGAUUUCUUAAUAAUAUAUAACUACUAUUUAUAUUAGUGCUAAUUUGAUUAUUAUUUUAUAUUUUUCUACAAUACAAUGACAACAUCAAUUUUUUAUAUAUAUAUUAGUGUGGAAUUCAUAUCAACAUUUUACUGUAUUUUUGUAAAUAACAAAGAUUCAAUUUUUACUAUUUAUAACAAAUUUUCAAUAAAAUAACGAAACUUUUAUUGCAAUAAAGAUGAUUACAACAAUUUAUUUAUUAUUACAUUGGAUAUAGAGAGAGAAAAUUUAGUCAUUAAUUUCCCUCUCAUCAUGACCAUCACUAUCAGCUUCAAAUUCAAACUUUCUUGAACAUAACAGGGAAUGGAGCAUCAUUCAAAGCAAUAACCCUCCUUCCAUUCUUGUAAAAUAAUCCCACAUCUUUGCACACUACUUUGCAAUACUUACAAACUGUUGGACAAUACACCAACUUAUAAUUCUUACCAUACUUCUCCACUUUGAACCAAUUUUCUAUUGUUUCCCGCCCCGGAUUCCCUUUCAUUCCCCCCAUCGUCACAAAAUACUGCUUCAAGUAUUCAUCAAACUUACCUACUUUCCAUACCGUCGAUAUUCCGCACCUCGUGUUCGCCUCGAAUUGGAUGUUCAAAUCUGUAGAAACUCGGACCACACCCUUUUUAGGGUUUAUGGGGGAAAACGUCGCCGGUAGACCGUGUAAAUAAUCGUAUGAUUCCGGGAGGAUGUUGAUGGGACAUUUUUCGUAUCCGUAGAUACCGCCGAUGCUUAAUCCACCACUGUUUCUGCUGUAAACUGAAAGAAUAUAAUAUUGAUCACCGGCUCGAAGCUUCUUUCCGUCGGUGUCGAGGACCGCAUCGGGGGAGGCAUCCGCUCUGCAGAAGCGUACCUCAGAUGAGGCAAUGACAAUGAAAAGAAAACACAGUAAUGCAAAGUUUCUCAUUUCUUUUGGUGAUUUUGUUUCUUAUGUAGAUGAUGAUAUUGGAAUUGAAAAAGAAGUCUAUUUAUAGGAAAUUAUAGAGAAAGAGAGAUUGAAAUUGCUCACUGUAUUGUUUCUCAUUGUAUUGCUUUCCCGGCGGGCGCCAAGCCGCCAACAGGCUGUGUUUUUUCACUUAUAUUAAACAUAUAAUAUAAUGAAAUAAUUAGACCUUUCUAUGGUUAAAAACUAUCAACUUUUCAAUACAUGAAUUUAGAUUUGUUUCCAUUGGUUUCAUGAGAAUUGAAUAUGUUAUUAUAGUUUAAUUAGUGGAUAGAUUUUUUUAGUUUGAAUUAUAAUAACAUGUGUUAUUUGUAGUUUAUGUUUUUAUAAUGAAUAUAUAUUUUUAUUAUUUUAAUAUUUUGUUAUAAAUGCAAAUAUUUAGUAUACGUACAUCUAUCAAACGUGGACCAAGUGUAUAUCACAUGUAUCAAGUUAUCAAAUAUAUAAAAGUGAAAUCAAUAGUGUCAAGUGUAUCAAAAAUGUAUUGGUGAUAUAUGAAAUGUAUAUGAGGUGUAUUAAGUAGGUUGAUUAUUAUUUUUAUUUUUUUUUGCCCUUUUUGCUUAGGUAAAUAAGUAUGUACUAUAGACCUAAUUUUGUAAACUUAUUCUGUCUGACAUGAUUGCAGCUGAAUAAUUGGGUAAGAUCACUGGCAAUUUUGCACAUUUCACCAAUCAAGAUACUAUACAAAACAAUGGAAAUAGAGAAAUCAAACAACUCUCAUUUGAUUAGCCCUAUGAAAACUUGUUCAAAAAAAUUGCCAUGGAAAGAAUUUUCCAAGUCUCCAUGGUUUCAUAAAUACUCUAGUAGAGACCAAAUUCCAACUUUUUUCCAAACCAUAAGGACCAAAAUCAAUUUAACUGUAAAAAUAUAAGAGACUCAAGACAAUAUGUUACGUGGAGACCCCAUUUUGGGAACUUCUCAAAUGCGAGCUGUUUUCGCCACAACCGAUUCCAAGUCUUCCUUUGUGUUGAUGCUGCAGCAAGUGACACUGUUGUUAGCAUGUAUACACAAAUGCAUUCAAGGAGUCACAUCUAGUUAUAUUUCUAUUGAGAAUGUCAGUCACUAAAGCUAAUAUUUCAUAGUCGAUUAUUGAAAAAAAAAAAUUAUAAAUGAACUUCCACAAAUAUUUAACCUCAGAUACUUUUUUAAAAAAGGCCUGUAGAGGACACUUGAAUCACUCACCUAAAAGUAACAUCCCCACUAAUUGUCAAUUUCUUGGAGAUCCAAUUCGGAACCAACUUUUCGAGCUGCUCGAUUCUCUCUUCCACUUCUCCUGCAAGCAAUCAAGUACGUCAAACAAAAAUUCAUAUCAAAUUAGGAUUAAUUACUUAAAAAACCCAUACAUACUUCUCUCAGUAAUAUCAAGGCAAUUCAUUAUAAUCUUGUGCACGAGCUCCUCCUUGGUAAUUGAAGAGCAAUUCACAGACUUGAAAAUGUUGUAGACAACACAAACAAGUUCAGGCAAGCAAGAAGAUGAUUCUUGACUAAUUACUUCUUUACUGGUAUAAUUCUUCUUUUGGAUAUGCUCGUCGAGAAAGUUCUUCUUUCCAGGGAUUUCAUAGCAUUGCAAACCAUCCACACCUAGACUCGACUUGCCAUUAUCACUUUCCAUGCCAGAAAAGUUGAGAAACCUUUUUGCAGGUUUACAUACACUUCCUACACUUGCAGGUUUCCUUGUUUUCACCUCUGAACUUGGCAGCAUUGAUCUCUUUGGUGUUAACUGUACCGGUGUUUGUGUCAUUAUGCUGCUAGAAGCAGAAGACAUGACAGACUUAACAAGAGGACUGUCCGAAGAAUUAGCAGUAGCAACUUGAGGAGAGAUCGUCGGAAUAUCUUCAAGCAACUUAGCUGGAAUGGAUGGUGAAACAACAAUAGAAGAUGCAACUAGUUCUGAUAUCUCUAUGCU